UUGUCAUGAGUGUAAACUAGAUCAUUUAAACCAAAAACAUGUUUUCGUACCAGGCUGUAAACAUGUUUAUUUCUGCUGUGAAAUUGCUAUUUUUAACAUGAGUCGAUGAGGAUUUGCUCGCUUCUGACAUCAGCCCCCAGUGGAUGAGGGUGGAACUGCAAUUUGGGGUUCUUCCGGGUUGAGACCAAUUUCUGAGACGCAUUCUGGGGGCUUGGGUAAAACCAGGGGUCCGUAACAUUGAUGUACUAUAUUUGUCCACCAACAGUCCACCUAGCCAGCUAACAUUAGCUACAUUAGCUAACAUUUAGCUUCACUGUUAGGGGAACAGCUGCUGCUGUUCCCCUAACAGUGAAGCUAAAUGAAACUGUAUUAAUCAUUUAUUCCUAAACACUGACUUGUAUUACAGCUGAAACAAGAAUGCAGCUGUAGAAACCAAACAAAUCUUCCUGGUAUCAUGGUCAGAUGUCUCAGAGCCUCCUCUCUGACUGGAGUUAGCCAACAAGCUGCCAUGCUAACAUACUGAAGAGACGUUUUCUGAUUCCAGCCUUUGAAGGGUUUUGGUUCAUUAUAAUUAGAAAUGCGGUUUUAGGUUAAAGAAAUAUUCUAAAAAACAUUUAAGGAAGAAAUAAACAGAAGAGCAGGAAUAACACAAGGGGAAUGCAGAAAAUAGCAUUGACCUCUUUUGUACAGUGUUGUGUAGAUGCUAAUCUGCAAAUUUCGUGUUUUUGUUUUGUAGCUUUCCCACAAAAGAUGUGAGAAAGAAGUGUGAGGCUUCCUGCAGCUGAUCUAUUCUGAUCAGAACUGGGCUGUGUCAGACUGGGAGACUCAGAGAUAGAGUUUAUUCUUCUGCUUCCUGGUUCUCCUUCAGAGAACAAGUGAUCAUGAAGCCAGCAUCCAUACAUGUGCAUAUCCUUUUAUCAGUCACAAGGCAGAGUGCAAUACUUUUCCCCACAUACCUCGUCUUGAUGUCAUUUCUCACAAAUUCAUUUAUUUCAAUCAAUAGUAAGGAUCGAAUCUGGGUGUCUCAGAGUUUUCAAAGCAUUAGGGGGCCUUUGAUGUCAGCUGAGAAUCACAGGUGUGUACUAUAAACACUAAUAUAUAAUAAACAUGAUCUGCUUGUUUGUUUUAACCAGAGAAGUGCAGAACUACAUCCAGAAGAGCUGAAAAGCCAGUCUGUGACCUCCCAGGAUGCCCAGAGACUAACCUCAGCCUGGUGAUGAGAGGGAGGCUCCCAGCUGCGUCAGGUUAGCAAUCAACGGCACUGGCUUCUUAAGGAGUUGGAGAACACACCUCGACACGGGAUGAUUACUACUACCCGGAUUUUUGGAGAGCCUCUGUUGAAGGAACUACUCUGGAUUCUCUAAACUCAUCAGGAUACUCACCGCCUCUACAUAACCUUCUGGACGCAGCUCCCCAGUGUUCUCCAUCUCACCAGUCGCUCCACUCACCUGCUUCCCCCACACUCCCUCUCCUGGAUACACUCACCUCGACUCACCCAACUCUCGACCUGCCCCUCCCCAUUCCUCCUCAGCUCUUUUGCCCAACGCUGCGUACCGAUUUUUCUCCAUCCACUGGAAGUUCCAGUGCACUUUUUGUUCCCGUUUUAAAAUAAACUCCUUAUUUUGAUUAAAUUACCUGUGAGUGUGUUGAUUCUGCGUGUCCUGGGUUAAACUUCUUCCCCAGACCAUGACAAUCAGUCUGGUGGAAACAUUUAAAGUUAUAUUACUUAUAUAUUCUAUAGGAUUAUAAUAUCAAGUAAUUAAUAUUUUCAUUUCACAAAUUGGUUCACAUUUUGUUAUUGACUAACACUUUUGUUUGAUUAGCUUAUUAAAAGAUUUAUUAAAAAGAGAGAGUCCUUUGUCUUCAUUCUUCUCUUGGGCUGGAAAGGAAAACGGUUUUGAAGCAGGUGCAUGAGACAUUGAGCAAUAUCUCAUGCAGAUUAGUUCUUGCUGAGGAGAGGGGGAAAAUGACUUUUAGAUGGAAAACAGUCAUUUCAUUCCGUUACAUAGCCAACAUGUGUGUAGCCUAUGUGUGUGCAUGUCGUGGUUGAAGAAAAGUAAUCUUGUAUAAAAAAAACGUAGCCUACACCAUCUGUAAGUAACCAGAAUGGUGAUGUUUGCUCAUGUAGCAUCCACAAAUGGUCCGUUUGUCAUGUACAGUUUGACCUCUUCAUAUGGAGACAGGAGUCUACAUUUGUUGCCUUUAAUCUGCCGGAUCCUGCCAUUCCAUCAGCUGGGGUCCGGGCCUCUGCAGCUCUGAACACACGAUAACUUAUUGUCAACAAACUGUUCCUGUUUCAAGGCCUUAAGCUUCCGUUAUCGCUUCUACAAGAUUCCUCCUGCCUCUGAAUAAAGUGAGCAUUUUCAGCUCAUAUGAGUUAAUUAAUCAUGAAAUGAAAUGAACAAUAUAGUUAAAUUAAAUGUGUUGAUUAAUCUGUGCCUAAGUUAAUAAGGCUGAAAUGAAUUUUAAUAUUACAAUGAAACAUUUUGAUGUAAUGAUUUGUAAUGUUUGGUUUAACAAGUGAAUCAUUAUCUACACUCAUACACAAUGUUCAUAAGAUAACGUUAAAGUAAUUUCUUGCACAUAGAGAUGUUCUUACCCAAAAAUUAGAGAACCUUCUGUCUGAAAGAAGGCGUGAUGUUCAGAGGUUUGUUUGUUAACACCUCUUAACAUGGCACAUCCCUACUGGCCAAGUAAAUCAUAAUAUGAGAACAUUAAAACAGGAUCACUUACGGAGUGAUUCUGCAUUCUGUUAGUUUGAGCAGAACUCCGGACUGGCCACCGGGGGAAAACUCUCUAACUACCGCGUCUCUUGACAAGCUGUCAACCCUGCUACAAGCUACAGCUGACACAGCAAAAUGGUUCCUUCAGCUAUUCAGAAACAGCUGUUCUAGACGCAAACAAUUUAAUCUAUCUGUUGAGACCCGGGAGACAUCCUAGGUCGUGUCGAGGUUUUCCUACAAGCCACGUGCAUGUGGGGUCACCGCCUCCUCGACAUCUCAAAUCCAAACGGGGUCUCCAGGAACGGGUACGUAGGCAUGACAUAAAUUGCAUCUGAUGCCGUUUUGAUAAGAACCAACUCCAUAGUUUAAUGCAGACCAAAUUCUUUUCACACCCAGAACUCAGUUUCUUCUAGAUACAAGGUUCUGAUAAACACACACCAUUAAAUCACCAUGCAUCACAUUCCAUCCACUUACAUUCAUCCAUCACAGUCGUCUUAUUUAACUUGUCUCGUUUUAAUUUGUUUAGAAAAUACAUUUCUUACCUUUUAUAAACCUGACUCUGUCUGAAUUGAUAGGAAGUGUGUUUGAUCACUGAAAAAGCAAACAAUCCUAAUUCUUCUGAUUAAACAUUCAAAGACUGAUGAGGUUGAAAUGAAGGCUGCAUGGUGGCGCAGUGGUUAGCACUGAUGCUUUGCAGCGCGAAGGUUGCAUGUUCGAAAUUCGGCUCGGCUGCGGCCUUUCUGCGUGGAGUUGCGUGUUCUCCCCAUGCAUGCAUGGGUUUCCUACAGGUACUCCGGUUUCCCCCACAGAUCACAACAUGCCCUAUAGGUUAUACAUUGUAAGUCGCUUUGGAUAAAAGUGUCUAUCAAAUAAAUAAAUAGAAACAUCCUAUUUUUAUUUAGAAUAUCACAGCUUAUUGGUCAGAAGUAGAGGUAAUAUAUUUAGCUUAAAAGCAACUAUAUUAACCCCCAAUUUCUGACAGUCACCUUACAGCUGUGAUACAAGCGAGACGAUGAGACUGUGGUGUUGGCCUCUGUGGUUAUGCCUUCAAGCAGGAAAACGGUGGAAAAAUGUGCCCGUUUUCCACCUUUAUUCCCCUGGUGAUCACAUGUAUCACCCCACCACACAGCAACAAUUUACAAGAGUUGUGUAAUAUAACUGAUCAAAUGAGUAAUAGACAAAUUUAAGCUGCAAGAAUGAGACUGAGCGUGCUGUUUACAGUAGUAACAAGCAACAAGUCAUGUCUUGUAGGUCACCAGUGGGGCAGCCACUAUAGCCCUAGCCCUAUAGUAUAUGCACUAUCUUGGACCAGAUACAUGACAAGAUACCACAGAACAGCGCUACGACCUCUGUUGUCCUGGUGGGGAAGUGCUUUGCAGUGAGCAGUGAUGCUCAUAAACGUUUAGAUGGUCUGUUGUGCUGUUGGGUUAAAAAGCAGGAAUAUGACCUGUUAUUAGGAACCAGGGAGAGACAAUAAUCCUGACACACUGACUUUAUAACAUUCGUCUUAAACUUGUUCGGAUAAAACCUGUUAAAAACCGUCAUUUCUGUCGUUUUUCUGCCUGAAAGCAUGACUUUUUCAGGAAGCACACGGAUAAGAAAUUUAUUAAAACACCACAUGGUUCCCGAGCGCGGCUGUGCCUGCAGCUCAGCGCUCCCCCAGGGGAUAGGUCAACUGCGGAGAACAAAUUUCAUACACCAGUGUGUGUGAUAAUCAUGGCCGUUUCUUCCUAUGUGCAACCUAUACUAUUGCAUAGGGCCCCCAAACCACUAGGGGCCCCCAAGUCACUAGGGGCCCCCAAAGCUGCUGUGGUUGUGUUGAUGGUAACACAAACUGGCCUUCAUACUUUACCGUAACCAUAGGCGUCGCACCCGUGGGGGAUGUGGGGGAUUCAACACCCACACUUUUCCAGCCCGUUUUGCUAAUCCCCACACCCGUCUGGUUUUUCUACGUCGCACUCACUCUGUUUGCCUCAUCUCCCCCCUCCCCCCCCUUUUGUUUCUCCUUGAAACCCGACAGCCGAUGUUGGGUUUCAAGGAGAAACAGGAGAGGGAGGGAAGAGCUCGACUGAAUUCAUAAUUUUACAUCUUGACAUUAGCUGUACAAACUCUCUGUUUGAUAAAGUGAAGAAUAACAAUUUGCAGAGGUUUAUAACUGGCGCGGCGCCAGGUUUUCAUUUUUGGGUGGGCCACGGUAAUUUUGGACGGACCUUAAUAAGCAGUGACUUAAGUGAAGCAGGCAGGUCGCGCUAGAAAAUUCCAUUUAAAAAGACAUCAUAAAUCUUUUCCCCCAUCAUUUUUAUUUCUAAAAUAUGAAGUAAAAACUCCCAAUUUAAUUUUCAUAAAUUUUUCAUUUAUAGGCACCAGAAUGCAUCACCUGCACUUCUAAUAUUUACCUCUCAACGUAGGACUCUUUCAUAAGGGUACAUGCACACCAGUAGUUUUUACGGUUUUUCAUGGGGAAAAAUCUCUGACAUUUUUUAUUUAAAAAAAAAUCCGUCUUCCAGUAAAAGCAAAGCAUCCAGCCCACCUCUCCAAAUGCGUAAAAUGUGCAUCACAGCCGCUAGUUAGGUGCGCCGCGCGCACCAUCAGCUACGUCAGCCCAGACAAGAGCAGAGCAAAUAGAGAAAGAAUAGAGGAUAAUUCUGUCUGGAUGUGGAUGGAGAUUACAUUUUACAGCAGCCUGAUCAUCAUUUAAAUACGUAAACCAUCACCUGUCUUAUAGUCCACGCUAUCAGCAUUAUUUUAAUUGGUGUGUGAGUGUGUGUGUGUGUGUGUUUUCCACUUCAAACUGGUCUAACCAACCAGACCAGCGUGUCCAGUAACAUAUUUAUGUUACAAUUAAACAGUUUCACUUCAUGUAGGAACCUUUCACCUGCCGUGGCCCGACCGCUUCUGCUCCACAUAAACUUUGUGCGUGAUCAAAUGUCUCUACAGGUGCUUUCUGAGCUGAAGAGGCUAUUCUGCCUCAGACUGGAUGCGUCAUGCGUCUCCAUAUUAGAGACGGGAACAAGCGCUAUUCAGCCAAAGUUUCAUAAUCAGCGAACAUUUUUCCAAGUGACACAUCCCUCAGAGAGACCGGGUUGUUUCAGUGGGAGGAAAUCUUACCGCAUGUGCUGUGGUUCUGCACUGCGCUGCGAACCCCUCUACAGAUCUUCAGCUCACUGUCCACCGUGUGCGCUCCGGUCCGCACUGAGCACAGUGUCCAGAAUAAAGCUCUGAUGUUCUGAUGCUUGCAAUUUGGGACAAUUUAUGGUGUGUUUAUAGAUCAUCAAUUACAAUUUGUCCAAAUAGGGGGGCCCAGAACAUAAUCUUGCAUAGGCCCCCCACAAUGCUAGAAAUGGCCCUGGUGAUAACUAACAGGACUUUAACUUGUUUUAAUGUUACAGAUAUAUUUAAAAGUAACAACGUCAUUGCUCGUAGUAGCAUCAUUGAGAGGCUGGGAGCUGCUCGUUCCCAUGGCAGGGAAGUACUGAGCCGAGCUGAGUGAAGUUGGCUUCCAAUCCACAUCAGAAACAAAUAGAGUGGCUAGUGCGACGUUAGUGCAGGAUUCCUGAUGUGGUUGAGUGGCCAACUUCACGUAGCUGCUGAGCAGAAUAUGGCUGCAACUGCGUCUGGGACACCGACAGCAGCUGCAGUGCUGUUACUCGUAGUUUUUGUGAGACAGGCAGAAAUUAGCAUUUAGAGCAUAGUUCUAGUCUAGUCUUGGCUCGUUGCCGAAAACUCGUCAUGUUUCACUCACCAAAGAGCUAUUUUAGCUCAUCAGCGUCUCGUCUGUUAUGAUAAAAAAAAAAGGGACGAAAUCUAUUGUUCAUCGUUAACAAAAACAACACUGGGAGGAACAUGAAUGCCGCUGACCAUCUUUAUUAGUCAUCUCAGUUAAAAAAGACAGUGGUGCAAUGACGUACACCUUCUGGUACAUACUGCUGUAAGGGCCCCGAGCCGCUACAGCCUCACAAAAUGUUCAGCUGGUAUUUUCCAUCAUAUGACUGCUGCAGAAGGUGCUGUAUGGGUCAUGAUGUCAAUAAUCACUCAAGGACACAACCGCUGGCCUUAUUUAGCUGAGGUUUGAACUAGCAACCUACUGAUAACAGGAUAGACUUUUGACCCCUGAGCCACAGUCAGCAACAGUCAGAACAAAGAGGAAAAUCACACCAAAAAGAUCUAAAUGUUGGGAGCAGCAAUUGCAGAAAGCCACCAUCAGCUCUCCACUGCUGAACCUGGAAAUGGAGUUUAGGAUUCAGUUACUGAAUUGCCCAAACAACAUCAGUGAGAUGACUGAAGAGUGUGAAGCGCUGCAGCAGAAGAUCAAUGAAGCUCAGCUGGAGUCUUCACUGCAAAUACAUUUUUCUGUACAAUGGAAGACAACAGUCACUGCUACAGCGAGUGGGUUUAACCCUUUAGCAAACAGGUCAACAGCUCGCUCUACCGAGAAUCAUGCAUGAAGAACAACUGGAACAAUAGAAUACUCCUCAGUGGUGUAAUCCUGGAAUAAUAGCAGCAAAUAGAUUCAGAGCCAAAAUAAAGAAUAGAAGGACGAAACGAUAAACAGUGAAUAAAAAAAUGUGAGGAAAUAUACUAUUUUAAAGAUACAGUGUAAUAACUAGCAUAUAUUUUACAGGGAGAGAGGAAUGGAGAAAGUAUGAAAAUAAGAAUAAAAAAUUAGUACAUUUAAAACAUUCCAGAAAAUAUAUGGAGGGUAUAACUAUAUAUAAAACAGCCACGUCUGGAAUUCUGCAGGUUGGUGAAGUCAGUCUACAUGAGCAAUAGUAAAACGUCUUAAUUACUAUGACUACUCAUGGGAACAUUGCAAAUAUGAUGUCACCACAUAAUCUCCUCUCCGCUAGCGUAGCUGUUACUUACCACAUGGCCAGGUUUGUGGUGGCUCUUUCCUGCUGGACAAAGGAUUUGAAGUUUGCUGAACUAACAGCCAUUUUCCCUCUCUUUGUCUCCGUGUGUGGUUUAUAGUCCUGGACUUAGUUUUACACAAAUACUUAAAUACCUUAAAUGUCAAGCUAAUCUUUCUUUUCUUACUCAGUCUUUUAUCCCUAAACACCUUUUCUAAAUUCAACAUGAACAGAUGAACUCAGUAACUUCUAUAAUUCUAAAACUAAAAUGUUGCUAAAUCACACCGUCGGGUAUUGCAUCUAAAAGUCUCCCGGACGCGGUGUGGAUGAACCCGCUGUAAGGAACCUUCCAACUAGUAGUAAUUUCAAUGACAAAUCAACUGUGGUUCUGCCUAAUUCACCUGUUCUAUUCACAAAAACACUUGUGUGGAGGCCAAAGCACCGCCGUUCAGCUCUCAACAGCAGCUUGGUGGUACACACUCGCUUUAACAGUAACAAUGUGGCAGAAAUGCUGAACUCAAAACAACAGAUGGUUGUUACAUUUACAGAAUAGCCUGUUUAGAUCCUUAAUCUGUUUAAAUUUCCUGAAGCUGGCCUCAGACCAGCUGUGUAGGUUGUGCGUGUUCAAAAUUCACAUCAACUCAAUAAUCUACACCAGGUGUGUGUUAUUGUCUUGUUUUAUUUAGUCAGGGGUUUCUUACAGAAAACACUGCGAGCUUAUGUUCAUUAACAAAGGUAAGAAACGCCUGCAGGCUCAACACAGUGGUAAGUGGUGGGUACACCUGCUGCACACACACACACAUACACACACAAACACACACACACACACACACACACUUAAUAAACCCAGCAUUGACCUGGCCUGAUUAAAUUGGAACAGAUCACUACACGUUUUGCUCUUCCUCAUCACUGUAACAGAAAACCCAGAUACUCACCUUCCCUGAUGAACGAUAUCAGUUAGAAACGGCAGGGAAUUGAAAAUAAUGAAUGUUGUUAAUAAACAUUUAAACAUAACCGGGUGAUUUUACAUGUGAAAAUGUGAACUUCUUCAGCAGCAUCAAGGCAACAGCAAAAUUCCCACAGCUUUUUUUAAACUUUGACAAUAAAAUAUUUCAACAUACACACUGAGACUUUUAAAACAUCUGAAGCUCAUAAACAUAGCUUACCUAAUGACUGCACCCCUUUUUACCCACCUGCAGCACCACGUUUGCUACAACAAUGUUACAGGUAGGCUGUUACAUCAGUAACAGCAACCCAAUGUGUGUGUAAGCUGGCCAUAAAUCUCUCUCCUGCUUUUCUGUGCUGGAAGCUACAAGGUCUCCUCCAGAAGACAAGACUUUACCCUUAAUAAAAAUCAAGGAUUCUGUCUAAUAAAAAGGAUUUCUUUCAUUCUACUGUAACGUUGAGAGCAGGGGGAGGUUAGGACCCAAGAUGCAGAACACCAGAUGGCAUGAGGCAGGAGCGAUUGUAAAAUGUAAAUCCUUAAUUUAUGACAAUAAUCCAAAAUCCAAAAGGGUAGGAAGCCAAGCCUAUUUUCAAAACCCUGAAAAAACCAAAAGCUCACUUUCUGAGCAAAAACCUAGAGACCUACUGAGGAGACAAAACAACGCUGACAAACGACAAUGGACCGACAAAUACUAAGACACAGACAGGGUUAUAUACACAGGCCGGGGCUGGGUGAUUAGGAGACGAGGAGCAGGUGCGUGGGGAACUGGGCACAGGUGAAACUAAUGAGCUGAGGGAAGACGCAGAAAUAAGCAGGGGAGAAAACUAUAUCUUAAACCUGUAAACCAAAGCUACUGAAACAACCCAAACUUAAACACUGUAGAACAAAAACACAGGGGAAUUUAAAAAUAAGUAAACGAAUGGUUUAAGUGGGGAAGGGAACACACACACACUAAAGCCGGGCGUACACUGUGCGACUUUUUCACUUUUUUGAGCCGAUUUUCCAGUCGUGCGAGAAGCCACGACAUCGGGGCGAGUUUUGCGCCGAGCGGUCGUGUAGUGUACAGGGGGUUACGAGAGGCGAUUAACACCACGUGACCAGCUGCCGAUCAGCAGUCGUGAGGUCGCAGGGACUUCUGGUGUGUUUAAUAUUUCGCUCGUCCCUCGUGAGGGUAUCGCACUGUUGAAGCGGCGCUGCGAGCAGCUACGAUCCAAAAAGUAUCAGAACCGCUCAUGGCGCAUGCGCGCGCAAUCCUGCAUCAACGCCGGCCGGUCGUUCGCUAUUUCCCUAAUAACACACGCUGUUCGUUUUUGUUUCUACACGUUUUUUUACUCACAAAGAUUGUCAAGAAAGUGUGUUUGUCGUGUUCAUGUCAAAUUAAACUGAUCACAAAACACAGAUUCACUUUCUUUAUUUCGUUUUCCUCAUCCAACCCCCUUAAAUCCCUGUGUGUCCUCCUGCAGCACUCCCGAAGGACAACAGGCAAGACAAAAAAAGUCUGACGUGUUGAGUAAAAACUGCUAUUUUUAGCACAUUUUUAGGGCCGACGUGUUGCUACCAGACGUACAGUGUGAGCAGUCAGGUCGCAUGCGAGAACUGGGUCGUGCAGUGUGAGCACACGACUCGUGAGAUCUGCUCUGCGAGGAAGUCGUACAGUUUGAGCUGAAGCUGAACGCUGCGAGUGAAAAAGUCGCACAGUGUACGCCCGGCUUAAAGGAGACUAAAGUCUCCUCAGUUCUCGGACUGCUGGAAUCAAUAAACUAAAUGGGAAGAGAAAGCCAAGCGGAGGAGGGGAUAAAACAAUGCCUGAGACACUGCAUAAAUAAACUAAAAAGGCUAAAGACACCUGGAGGGAGAACAGGAGGGGGCUGGGGGCCAAAGGGACACAGAACAUGACAUCUACAGGUUGAUUACAAUCAUAUUCUAUUUUAUCUACAAUGAAUGUUUUACCUUAAAUAUUUAAUAACGCCUUGACUGCUUUACAUUAAUGAAUCAACAAAAGUGUCAGUUUUAAAUCAGAUCUUAAAUACAACAAAUGAGUCUACUUGAUGCUUUUGACAAUGAUUUAUUAUCAGUAUAUUCACAUGUUAAUAUUGUUAUAUUAACAAAUGAAGGUUUAACCGAUUUACUUCACAUAUUAACGAAACAAGCCUGCUCUAAGUCUGAGAAAAGGUGAAGUCCUGAGUACUCUUUGUUAACGCCCAUUAAAAUUUCUGGCUUCUGAUUUUUCCAGAACUUAUAAACAACAAAUCUUUAAAAGAUCAGUCAAUUCCUCUAAAAUUCAGUUCAAGCAAGCUGUUCCAGUUCGGCCAACUGUUCCAGCGGGAUGUGACCCAUACUUUUCCAAGACUAAACAAAUUAUUUGUUUAACACUAUCAGAUGCAGAACUCCAUCUGACCGCCAGCAGUCACCCAGGGGGUAUCUUAUAACCAGAGGUAAAGUAUUCAAAGUGGACCUACGAGCUUUGAAUACCACACAAGUCAAUUCCAUCUGGCAGCUUGGCUGAACCGACCUCCCCUGGAUCGCCAGGAACCACGGGUUCGUAGAUUCUGCCCACUGGCAUUGGAUGACUUGUUAAACCUCAUAACCAGCCACAAACCCGGACAUCACAUUUUUCUUUGACACUUAAUCAGGUUUAAUAACAUCUAAGUUCAUAUUUCACCAUAGUUAAUUCCUUGUCUCAGUAAAUAUUACUUUACCAUCAUUUAUACUAAUUU
Nothobranchius furzeri (turquoise killifish) is the source of this 11233-nucleotide long non-coding RNA. RefSeq lists it as uncharacterized. Lineage: Eukaryota; Metazoa; Chordata; Actinopteri; Cyprinodontiformes; Nothobranchiidae. The record is from RefSeq and is a predicted model, not a curated record.